UUGGGAUAAACCUUUCAAAAGCAAUUAUUACAAGAAACAAAUUGAAAGCAAUGAUGGUAUAAGAUAUAGAUCAUUGUCUUGUCAAUCAAGUUAAUAAUUAAACGAAAAGGCUACAGAAGUAGUAGUAGAAGCUGAUGAUGAAAACGAAGACAAAGUUGUGUCACAAGUGUGUCUUACACUUUUUUUUUUUUUUUGAUCAACUGUGUCUUACACUAUCUGUCUUGGAAACUGGGGAUUGCCUAAUGGCCUUUUGAGCUUUUGUUUCAGUCACUACCGAAUUCUCUCUCUCUGUAUUGGCAGCUUUAGUCCCAAAUCUAUUCAAAACAUGCAAUGAUAUUGGGCGAAGAAACUUCUCACAAUCCAUGACCCUUGAGGUCUUGAAUCUCCUUUCACUAUAUUUUUUUCCAUUGCACGGCUGAUAUCUAAAUAUAAUUAUUAUUUAUUUACAUAUUAUCAAGAGGCAACACCAGUAUUUCUAAAUAUAAUUGUAGGUAUUAAAUUACAUGUCUUAUUUAGGCCAUCAAUAAUGUAUUUUAAAAGAAGAAAUAUAAUUGGGUUGAAAUAGAUUUGAUUUUAAUAUAAGAGUGAGUUAGAAAUCCCCUAUAUAUUAUUUGAGAAGCAUUGCAACAUUUUUUUUGUAUCCAUGUGUCAUCACUAAAAUGAUUCUUAAAAUCCUUAGAGAAAUAGGUUGGUUCAUCUAAAUAUAUA
RNAcentral lists this long non-coding RNA (708 nucleotides) under Brassica rapa (field mustard). Its description in RNAcentral is "long non-coding RNA (BRAP_LNC005547)". The record is from RNAcentral. Lineage: Eukaryota; Viridiplantae; Streptophyta; Magnoliopsida; Brassicales; Brassicaceae.